This 467-nucleotide ribosomal RNA is filed under the name uncultured bacterium. Its description in RNAcentral is "partial 16S ribosomal RNA". It matches the Rfam family "Bacterial small subunit ribosomal RNA", at positions 28 to 507 of the family's 1533-position model. The record is from RNAcentral.
GACGAACGCUGGCGGCGUGCUUAACACAUGCAAGUCGAACGGAAAGGCCUCUUUCGGGGGGUACUCGAGUGGCGAACGGGUGAGUAACACGUGAGUAACCUGCCCUUGACUUUGGGAUAACUUCAGGAAACUGGGGCUAAUACCGGAUAGGAGCUCCUGCUGCAUGGUGGGGGUUGGAAAGUUUCGGCGGUUGGGGAUGGACUCGCGGCUUAUCAGCUUGUUGGUGGGGUAGUGGCUUACCAAGGCUUUGACGGGUAGCCGGCCUGAGAGGGUGACCGGCCACAUUGGGACUGAGAUACGGCCCAGACUCCUACGGGAGGCAGCAGUGGGGAAUAUUGCACAAUGGGUGGGAGCCUGAUGCAGCAACGCCGUGGGCGGGAUGACGGCCUUCGGGUUGUAAACCGCUUUCGCUCAUGACGGAGCUUUGUGUGACGGUAGUGGGUAAAGAAGCACCGGCUAACUACGUG